This is a long non-coding RNA of Cyprinus carpio (common carp), 889 nucleotides long. The record is from Ensembl. Lineage: Eukaryota; Metazoa; Chordata; Actinopteri; Cypriniformes; Cyprinidae.
GAACACGGAAAAUAUAACACGUGCAGGCGUUAACGGUUUCAGAAUAGAAUUAAGGUGGGAAAAACUACUCUCAGCGUGAUCAGUCAUCAGAAAUCCCUCUCUCCGUGUGUGUCAGUGUGUGAUGAUGGAGAGCAUCAGUGUGACGUGUGCAGAGGUUCAGAGCUCAGGCGGGUUUGAGCUGAGAGUUCCUGCUGACAGACUCACUCUCUUCAGUCAGUCUGACUGUGAACCGCUCUGGUACUCACAGGACGGGCGUCUGAUAGCAGAUCCAUCAGAUCCUCAGAAACUGAUUGAUCCUGUUAUUUCUGUCUCAUCUGAUCGUCUCGUCACUUCUUACUGUGUGGAUGAACUUCUUCAUGAGAUCCGCUGCGAUGCUUCAGGAUUCAGACUGGAGACCGUGUUCAGAGUGAGGAAUGAAACUCCAGUGACUCCAGAUGUUCUGAAUGAAGUGACUCCAGAUCUGCAGCUCUCAGAUCAGUGGUGGUGGACUUCUGCUCUUCUCAUCUGCAUUGUUCUUCUGGUUUUGAUCUGUUUCUUGCUGCGUAAACGAAUCUUCAGAUGUUUUCAGAGGGAAGAGCCGUCCAUCUCUCAGCGUGAAGCUCCAGACAGCAGGGAUCUGGAGAAGCUCAGAUCUGAUGAUCCUCAAACUCCACAGGAAUCGGUUCAGUGAAUCAACAUCACAGUUGUUGGGAUAUAGCUACGACUGAAACCCUAAAGUCACAAAAUGAUGCUAUAGUUAGGCACGUGCACAUUAAAGGGGGCUUGAGCACCUGCCCUUUUUCUUCCUCCAGAAAAAGUGGUUUACUGUUACCCAGUCACCCCCCAAUCUCUCUGUCCCACCACCACCACUAAAAAUAAAAAAUAAAACUUUUUAUUGCUGUUGGUUUAU